Molecule: ribosomal RNA, 255 nt
Filed under: uncultured bacterium
Lineage: Bacteria
Description: partial 16S ribosomal RNA
Rfam family: Bacterial small subunit ribosomal RNA
Source: RNAcentral
UACGUAGGGCGCAAGCGUUGUCCGGAAUUAUUGGGCGUAAAGAGCUCGUAGGCGGUUUGUCGCGUCUGCUGUGAAAACCUAAGGCUCAACCUUGGGGCUUGCAGUGGGUACGGGCAGGCUAGAGUGCGGUAGGGGGAGACUGGAAUUCCUGGUGUAGCGGUGAAAUGCGCAGAUAUCAGGAGGAACACCGGUGGCGAAGGCGGGUCUCUGGGCCGAUACUGACGCUGAGGAGCGAAAGCGUGGGGAGCGAACAGG